This 358-nucleotide unclassified non-coding RNA is filed under the name uncultured Venturiaceae. RNAcentral's name for it is "sequence contains ITS2". The stretch from base 1 to 154 matches the Rfam family "5.8S ribosomal RNA". Lineage: Eukaryota; Fungi; Ascomycota; Dothideomycetes; Venturiales; Venturiaceae. The record is from RNAcentral.
AACUUGUUGCAAUGUAUCUCUUGGUUCUGGCGACGAUUAAGAACGCAGCGAAAUGCGAUAAGUAAUGUGAAUUGCAGAAUUCAGUGAAUCAUCGAAUCUUUGAACGCACAUUGCGCCCCCUGGCAUUCCGGGGGGCACACCUGUUCGAGCGCCAUUUCAACCCUCAAGCCCUGCUUGGUGAUGGGCCCCGCCCGCGGGCGGGCCCGAAACUCGUGGGCGUCGUCGUUCGGCUCCAAGCGUAGCAAAACCCUCGCUUGGGCGCCCGGACGGCGGCCGCCCGGAACGAAUCAUUUACAAGGUUGGCCUCGGAUCAGGUGGGGAUACCCGCUGAACUUAAGCAUAUCAAUAAGCGGAGGCU